Molecule: unclassified non-coding RNA, 220 nt
Filed under: Hevea brasiliensis (rubber tree)
Lineage: Eukaryota; Viridiplantae; Streptophyta; Magnoliopsida; Malpighiales; Euphorbiaceae
Source: RNAcentral
UUGCCCAUGAGAAUGGGCAGCUUUCCUGGUCAUUGUUAUCAUUAUUUUCAUGGUUUGAUGAGCGUACAAUUUUGUCUAGGGAUCCUUUAUUCCGCGAUGCAAUCUUGACGCCUGUAACAUCAGUAUAGAAAGCAACAAGAGAACCCAAUGUCCGGGAGCCAUGGUACCGAUCAUGCAUAGUAGAAUUUAAAAGGAAUAGAGUUGGAAAUCCAUGGACUCC